AACGAGUUAUCAGAACCUUCGGGGGACGAUAACGGCGUCGAGCGGCGGACGGGUGAGUAAUGCCUAGGAAAUUGCCCUGGUGUGGGGGAUAACCAUUGGAAACGAUGGCUAUAACCGCAUGAUGCCUACGGGCCAAAGAGGGGGACCUUCGGGCCUUCCGCGUCAGGAUAUGCCUAGGUGGGAUUAGCUAGUUGGUGAGGUAAGGGCUCACCAAGGCGACGAUCCCUAGCUGGUCUGAGAGGAUGAUCAGCCACACUGGAACUGAAGCACGGUCCAGACUCCUACGGGAGGCAGCAGUGGGGAAUAUUGCACAAUGGGCGCAAGCCUGAUGCAGCCAUGCCGCGUGUGUGAAGAAGGCCUUCGGGUUGUAAAGCACUUUCAGUCGUGAGGAAGGUAGUGU
This 400-nucleotide ribosomal RNA is filed under the name Vibrio parahaemolyticus. RNAcentral describes it as "bacterial SSU rRNA". It matches the Rfam family "Bacterial small subunit ribosomal RNA", at positions 65 to 457 of the family's 1533-position model. Lineage: Bacteria; Pseudomonadati; Pseudomonadota; Gammaproteobacteria; Vibrionales; Vibrionaceae. The record is from RNAcentral.